UAAACGAUAACGCCACUGGUGGACUU
This 26-nucleotide non-coding RNA is filed under the name Mus musculus (house mouse). Lineage: Eukaryota; Metazoa; Chordata; Mammalia; Rodentia; Muridae. The record is from RNAcentral.